This 401-nucleotide ribosomal RNA is filed under the name uncultured bacterium. Its description in RNAcentral is "bacterial SSU rRNA". It matches the Rfam family "Bacterial small subunit ribosomal RNA", at positions 355 to 774 of the family's 1533-position model. The record is from RNAcentral.
UCGGGAAUUUUGGGCAAUGGGCGAAAGCCUGACCCAGCAACGCCGCGUGAGGGAUGAAGUAUUUCGGUAUGUAAACCUCGAAAGAAUGGGAAGAAUAAAUGACGGUACCAUUUAUAAGCUCCGGCUAACUACGUGCCAGCAGCCGCGGUAAUACGUAGGGAGCAAGCGUUGUUCGGAUUUACUGGGCGUAAAGGCGCGUAGGCGGCGCGGUAAGUCACUUGUGAAAUCUCUGAGCUUAACUCAGAACGGCCAAGUGAUACUGCUGUGCUAGAGUGCGGAAGAGGCAACCGGAAUUCUUGGUGUAGCGGUGAAAUGCGUAGAUAUCAAGAGGAACACCUGAGGCGAAGGCGGGUUGCUGGGCCGACACUGACGCUGAUGCGCGAAAGCCAGGGGAGCAAACG